GACGAACCGUGCGAACGUUGUUCGGAAUUACUGGGCGUAAAGGGCUCGUAGGCGGCCAACUAAGUCAGACGUGAAAUCCCCAGGCUCAACCUGGGAACUGCGCCUGAUACUGAUUGGCUUGAAUCCGGGAGAGGGAUGCAGAAUUCCAGGUGUAGCGGUGAAAUGCGUAGAUAUCUGGAGGAAUACCGGUGGCGAAGGCGGCAUCCUGGACCGGCAUUGACGCUGAGGCGCGAAAGCCAGGGGAGCAAACGGG
This 253-nucleotide ribosomal RNA is filed under the name uncultured bacterium. Its description in RNAcentral is "partial 16S ribosomal RNA". It matches the Rfam family "Bacterial small subunit ribosomal RNA", at positions 524 to 776 of the family's 1533-position model. The record is from RNAcentral.